AUGCCACGAGAGUGCCGCAGAUGGUUUACUGGCAACGCACUGUGGCUCCCCAACCAGAUUAGAAAAAUGAUCUUGAAAGGUCCCUUAAUACGCCAUAUCCAAUUCCAGGCAUGAAGUGCAGUGGUGGGAUCAACCAGCGUCUCCUGAGCACGACGAACGUGAAUCAGCCAUUGGUAAUCACACUAGGAAGAGGGGUGUACAAACGCAAUAGAUUCCACGUACCACCAUCCACUAUAUCACGAACCGAAAGCUGAGUAUCAUGGAUGUCCACAACUGGAACUAACUCACACAGCUUGAAGCCCCCGAGCCACUCUUCAUACCAAAGAGAAGUCCGCCCAUCACCCAGUUUGAAAUUAAAGCCAUCCUUGAUCACAUCCCUAGUCUUUUGGAUUCCCUGCCAAACACUCGACCCACUUCUAGUUGGUACGGAAAGAAAAUUGCCUUGCACCCCAUAUUUCUCCCUAACUAACGUGACCCAGGGUUUAUCUUCAUUCUUAAGCAGCUGCC
This 507-nucleotide long non-coding RNA is filed under the name Lotus japonicus. RNAcentral describes it as "long non-coding RNA (LJAP_LNC000102)". Lineage: Eukaryota; Viridiplantae; Streptophyta; Magnoliopsida; Fabales; Fabaceae. The record is from RNAcentral.